CAAGGCCUACUCACCGUGGUUUCAAAUGAUAAGAAACUAAACUCUGAUCAUGAAAAAGAAGGUCCACAAUCAUCCAACACUUUUUCUACCAAGCAAGUUAUAUGUAAGUGUCUUACUUGAAUUAUUUUACCAUUGUUCAUCAUUUUUUUUAAUAUGUCCCAAUCACUUUAUCAUUCAUUGUGACCUCUUCAACUUCUAGCCCAUCCGAAAACUUGUGCCAAACACCCAAACCACAUUGGGUUAGCGACUCAUCAUCCACCCAACACGAUGGUUACCAGACAAAUACCUUAAACACCCAAUCUUACUUUUCCUCUUUUGUUUACGUGGUCACGAUGCCUUAGAUUACACCAAUGAUUUCAUCUUUUUUUUACGUGGUCACCAUGCCUUAAAUGGUGAUGUGUCCCUUGAUCUUGAUGAGACGAAAGAAUAUCAAGGUGAGAUAGAUAUGGAUCAUGAGAUAGAUGACGAGACAUGUGAUAAUCCCUCAUAUGUACUCAACCACACAGAAAAGGUCACCUACAAAUAACAAAGACAGUAGAGUGGUUACUUCUACCCUAACAUUUCACAACACCCGGUCGCAAACAUCAAAUCCUCUUCGGCCAACCAUGACACAUAGCUCAUAAUCUAUCCCUCUUGGAUUUCUAUCUUUCGCUAAUAACUCAAAACUUUCCCUCAAGUGCAUUAAACUCUGGUAAAGCCCCUUUUUCAAUUUCCUCUAUUCAUUUAUUUUUCCACAGCUAAGAAGGUGUUGGAGCCAUCAUAAUGAAUAUCGUGUUGGAGGAUCACGAUGGUCUAUCCCAUGACCAAUCGUUAUCCAGGCCCAAUAACGUCGCUGCCAAGCUGAUUUGUCACCUCCCAUAUCACAAGAUGCUCGUACUGAUCCUACACUUAAGGCAACUGGGAUCACCAAUCAGGCAAACUUCACUCAUGUUAUAAUUGGUCUUUACAUAAAUCAAUAUUUCUUAAGUAAUUUUAGAUUACUUUUCAGGGACAUACUAACCUUGAACGUGAGCUUGAAUACUUGGCUGCUUUGGAAAACCAAUUUUCGGGAUCCACACCCAACACUUGGCUGACUAAAGACUUCCUCUCUCAACCCUUGAAGGAUAUGCUUAGAUCAUUCAAGGUUGAGUGGCCUAGUGAUGCCUUUGAUUUUCUUGUUCGUCCAAAUAUCAAGCUCUCAUUCUUAGGACCAAACAAGACAUUGAUGAAAACUCUCCAAGGCUCCUCUUCCGGCAUCAAGACAUGGCUUGGCGUCCUUAAACAAAAUCAGAGUUUCAAAUCCAAAUGCCCACCCAAGUUCACAAAAGGAGCGUGGCAUGUCAAGUCAUUAGAGAAAAACCAACAAUAGGUAAAGGCCUAUUUAGUGAGAUGGCAAGUUUGGAUGCAAAGGAGGUAGCAUGUCAAAACUGGAUAUCAGAGUUGGAGGCUGAGCUUCUCCAUUUUCACAAUGAAGUAGGUGAGAUCCAAACUCAAAUGAAAACCAAAUCCGUCAACUUCAAAGAAAUCGUGAAUGAGGUUCACAUAGCUAAUGACAAAGAAAAGUCUCGCAUGUCCAUGGAUCAAGUCAUCUUGCAGAAAGAGCACAUUAUCCAGAUACGGGUAGAAAAUAUGACCAAACUGAUUACCCCGAAUACCAUCAUGGAAGAACUCCUCAUUUUUUAAGUCUAAUCAUAAGCCAUAACUUCCUCAUUCUGUUCAUGUUUCUUUUCUUUUGUUUGUCUAGUUUUCUAUUUGCUGCACCCAUUAUUUUUGUCACAUAUGGGCUGGCGUUUUGAGGCUCAAUCUGGGCCGUCCAAUUUCGAAAAAAGAAAAAUAAUUUACAAAAGAAGCACUCAACUUAAAUAGUGUAAUUAAAAAGUCUACAACUUUUCCAUUUUGUCAAAUGAGGAAUUGGUCUUGGUGAAUUUUUUUAAAAUCAUCAUAACAUCUUCAUAGUACUCCUAGCAUCACCUAAAGUUUAUAUUUUAUCUUUGGAUGUCAACAAACUAACACAUCCAUCAUUGUAAUAUUUUUCAGCAAGCUCAGAGUUCAGGGGACUGUUUUGGACCGAUUGCAGGGUGAAAGUGAUCGAAAGCACAGUGAAGUUUCAGCCAUGAGGAUGAACCUUGUGGAUGUGCACAAGUCGCAUUACCGCGGCACCUGACACAUUAGCCUGUAAAUGUUUCAAUAUCUUAAUGUAAUUUUGUACAUUUAAGAAUCAUGUGCAAUUUGAAUAAUAAUUUUAUCUAUUGUUAUGGUUACUCAG
Molecule: long non-coding RNA, 2245 nt
Filed under: Linum usitatissimum (flax)
Lineage: Eukaryota; Viridiplantae; Streptophyta; Magnoliopsida; Malpighiales; Linaceae
Description: long non-coding RNA (LUSI_LNC005249)
Source: RNAcentral